CUCCCUGUAGCUCAAUGGACAGAGCGCAGGUUUCCGGAGCCUGAAAUACAGGUUCGAUUCCUGUCAGGGGGA
This 72-nucleotide transfer RNA is filed under the name Parcubacteria group bacterium CG2_30_36_38. RNAcentral describes it as "tRNA-Arg". It matches the Rfam family "tRNA". Rfam says of the family: Transfer RNA (tRNA) molecules are approximately 80 nucleotides in length. Their secondary structure includes four short double-helical elements and three loops (D, anti-codon, and T loops). The record is from RNAcentral. RNAcentral also lists the same sequence under 5 other names.